Molecule: long non-coding RNA, 1398 nt
Filed under: Homo sapiens (human)
Lineage: Eukaryota; Metazoa; Chordata; Mammalia; Primates; Hominidae
Description: HSALNT0173628
Source: RNAcentral
CCAAAAUCAUCAACAUGUGAUUUACCAGUGAAUCAGCCUGAAUUUGCUCCCUUCAAGAAGAAUGGUGCCUGUAUGUAAAAAUCACAAAGCAUGCACCGUUGGUGGCACUUGGUGGCUUAUUCAUUAUUCUGUUUGGUAGAUUGGAGAGGCAGAAGAAUAAAAAGAGUUAUUGUUCUCAUUUCCAUGUGAUUUGACUCAGGCAUGUUUAAAGAGUAGCUCUUGUACCAGGGAAAUGAAGAUUUGAUCCUGCACUGCUCUUAAGGGCAGCAAAGGACCAUAAGCAAUUCUCCAAUGGUGAAGAUCGACCCCAGUCAUGUAAAAACACGAGGCAACACAUUUCACUUUUGCUUAAGAAGGAUCUUGCAGAAAGUGAAGAAGAGCAGGAAUAGAGAAGACAUUUGAAUGACGACUGAUGUUCUCUUCUUUGGCCUGAGGUUUUAGAACACAUUCACUGCCUGAUCACUGUGGCCCAGAAGCCAUGGCCUCUGCUGAGAGAUAGGGACCCCAUGUUCCCUCUACACAUCUUCUUCCCCAAAGCCUCUCUGAGGCUCCUAUGUUCAAAGAAACAGUCCUCUGGCAAUGGCCUGGUCCUUUCUGCCAUACCAAAGAAAGUUGUUUUUUGUUUUGAGCAAGAGAUCACUUCUGAUUUUCCUACCUUUGACAUGGACCAGACUAAUUGACAAAUUCUAGAAGGACAGACACUUCCAAACGUCUCUUGACAUACUGGCUUCACAAAGGUUAGGAAAGCUGUUAUGGGGAGGACGGAGCCUUUCUCCUCUUCCUGAGAACGUUUGAAGAAGAAAGGGGCUACUGAGAAGUCUGGUAGAUUCAGCAGCUAGUAAAUAUCGUGUCUAAAUGGGCAUCUUUUAUUAAACUCUGAGGCAGGGUUGGUGUGUUAGGCCAUUCUUUCUUGCUAUAAAGAAAUAUCUGAGACUGGGUAACUUAUAAAGAACAGAGGUUUAAUUGGCUCAUGGUUCUGCAGGCUGCACAGAAAGCAUAAUGACAUCUUCUUCUGGCUAGGCCUCUGGAAGCUUCCAAUGAUGGUGGAAGGCGAAGAGGGAACUUGCGCAUCACAUGGCAAAAGCAGGAGCAAGAGAGAGGCGAGGAGGUGCCGCACACUUUUAAAAGACCAGAUCUCAUGAAAACUCACUAUUGUGAGGACAGCACCAAGAGGAUCGUGCUAAAUUAUUCAAGAGAAAUCCUCCCCCAUGAUCCAGUCACCUCCCACCAGGCCCCACCUCCAACAUUGGGGAUUACAUUUCAACAUGAGAUUUGGAUGGAAACACAUUCAAGCUUUAUCAGCCCAGCUCCGGGAGUUCUUAAACUCAUAAGAAUCUAUGAGCUCCCAGAUUUAUGGGCCUUGAAAUAGACUUUAAUGUCAACUCCACAAAAGCAGGG